GGAAUGACAUCAUCGCAGGUUCCGUGGGGGCAGGAAGACCUUGGCAGCACACAGCGGUUGGACUUGAAGCUGUUUAUUUAUUUAGAGAGACCGAGAAGGCAGCUGGACCUCGUGAAGAGAGAUUGACCUCUGAAGGAAGAGAUAAAAUGGGGCCGUCAUCAAUCACAACAAAGAUGUGCGGACCAGAAUGAUGCAAGAUGUUCCUGCUCAGCCACUAAGAACCAGAAUUUGGCUUCAGCCAUUUCCCAGAUAUCCCCGAGGGUCUGACAAAACCAAGAGGGAGAAAGUCUGUCAUGGCGGAAACAGCGCGGCAACAGUCCGAGAAAGCAAGGGGAACAGGAACAGGAAAUCAGCCUGCUGCCCGUGCCCUGGACUACUCGCUGCUAACCCUAUCUACCUGGGGGUCGGAGUUGAGGUGGUGUGGAAUCAACACUGACUCCAGGAACAGGUGGAAAAGCGCUGCAGCAAGCUCAUCCGAAGGCUGCUGCGAGCUCCUUUAAUACCCUCCACCUGCGCCCCAUAGGUCCCAGAGAAGCAUCUCUUCUAAACAGCAGUUCCCGGUUGGCUGGCAUUGUCUGCAUCAGCAAUCCUUGGUCUUCUCAGGGAGUCUUCAAUUAGAUCCUCCAGCAAGAACCGUCUUUGUGGCUGCGCGCCCUCCCCCACUCCUGCCCCCUGCGUUUACAUAGAGGCGGCUACCACCAUUCCUCCUACACCAGCAGAUCAUGUUUUAUCCACACAGAAGAAAUAACAGGAGGAAAGGCAAGACUAUAAAUCCUCAAAGCCCCCGCUCCUCCAGUGAUGUACAGCAAGGGGCCACCUCCUAAAAGUUCUGCUACUGCCCCAAACAGCACCACUAAUUGAGAACCAGCAUUUAGAUACAGGAGCCUAUGAGGGACAUCUCUCAAUCAAAUUACCACAAUAAUUGGGUAGUUGCUUCAGUUUGCUUCCACAAUUCAAUGCCAGCCCCUGGCCCCUGCCUCCUAGGGCUCUAUGCUAAUCAAAUAUUUACUACAACCUUGAAGGCACAAACCACAUUUGAAGAGAUGGGAAAAUAUAUUCCCUGUGAAUG
This is a long non-coding RNA of Mastomys coucha (southern multimammate mouse), 1069 nucleotides long. RefSeq lists it as uncharacterized. The transcript is spliced from 3 exons. NCBI's taxonomy places the organism in Eukaryota, Metazoa, Chordata, Mammalia, Rodentia, Muridae. The record is from RefSeq and is a predicted model, not a curated record.